RNAcentral lists this ribosomal RNA (435 nucleotides) under uncultured Oscillospiraceae bacterium. RNAcentral's name for it is "bacterial SSU rRNA". It matches the Rfam family "Bacterial small subunit ribosomal RNA", at positions 341 to 792 of the family's 1533-position model. Lineage: Bacteria; Bacillati; Bacillota; Clostridia; Eubacteriales; Oscillospiraceae. The record is from RNAcentral.
ACGGAAGGCAGCAGUCGGGAAUAUUGCGCAAUGGAGGAAACUCUGACGCAGUGACGCCGCGUAUAGGAAGAAGGUUUUCGGAUUGUAAACUAUUGUCAUUAGGGAAGAAACAAGACAGUACCUAAGGAGGAAGCCCCGGCUAACUAUGUGCCAGCAGCCGCGGUAAUACAUAGGGGGCAAGCGUUAUCCGGAAUUAUUGGGUGUAAAGGGUGCGUAGACGGGAGUAUAAGUUAGUUGUGAAAUCCCUCGGCUCAACUGAGGAACUGCAACUAAAACUGUACUUCUUGAGUGUCGGAGAGGAAAGCGGAAUUCCUAGUGUAGCGGUGAAAUGCGUAGAUAUUAGGAGGAACACCAGUGGCGAAGGCGGCUUUCUGGACGAUAACUGACGUUGAGGCACGAAAGUGUGGGGAGCAAACAGGAUUAGAUACCCUGGUA